Molecule: ribosomal RNA, 463 nt
Filed under: Xylocopa virginica
Lineage: Eukaryota; Metazoa; Arthropoda; Insecta; Hymenoptera; Apidae
Description: partial ribosomal RNA large subunit
Source: RNAcentral
GUCAAUCUGCUCAAUGAUAAUUUAAAUAGCUGCAGUAUACAUGACUGUACUAAGGUAGCAUAAUAAAUAGUUUUUUAAUUGAAAACUUGAAUGAAAGAAUUAAUGAAAUAUAUACUGUCUCAAAUAUAUUAAUUGAAAUUAAAAUUUUAGUUAAAAUGCUAAAAUUUAAUUAUGGGACGACAAGACCCUAUAGAAUUUUAUAUUUAUAUAUUUAAUUAAUAAUAAUUAAUUAUUUAAAUAUAUAAAUAUUUAGUUGGGAGGAUUAUUAAAUAAAAUUAACUUUAAUAAUAAAAUCUAUAAUAUUAGUAUUUUAAAAUGAUUAAAUUUUAUUGAUUAUAAGAUUAAAUUACCUUAGGGAUAACAGCGUAAUAACUUUUGAUAGAUCAUAUUAAUAAAGAUGAUUGCGACCUCGAUGUUGAAUUAAGAUAUUAAUUAGAUGUAGCUGUCUAAUUACAUAAGUCUG